ACAUUUUAGCUUGCUUGUUGCUGGGGAAAAGACUUGCUGCUUUGUGUUUCAUUUGAUGAAGCUUCCAUAAGUCAGGAUUCCAGUCACAGCUUAGCUGGAUCCUCUCAGAAGGCUACGAUCAAGGUGUCAGCCAGACUGAGUUCUCAUCAGAGGCUCGACUAGGAGAGGAUCUGCUUCCAAGUUCCCUCAGGUUGUUGGAAGGAUUCAUUUUCUUGUGGCUAAGCUCACAGGAGCUUUCUUCUUCAAGGGCAUCAGGAGAGUGGAGAGCGAGUCUACUCAAAGACUUCUAUACAAAUCAUAAGACAUCAAGUACUCUUCAACUGCCUAUUGGGAGACAAUUUCCACAGCUCUCUCAUGUUUCUGCACAACUUGUAAGCAAGACAAGACUCUCUUAUCUUCUGGACUCUAUUUUCAAGAAUACUCAUAUAGUGAACAGUGUCUUCUUCCUGAGCGAAGGGCAUAAAUGCUACUUUCCAUUUUAAAAGAUUCAAGUUCCCUAAGCUCGGAAUUCUUCUGUAAUGCAACCCAUUGUGUGUGCAGGUAUCACCUGGCAUUCUUCCCAUUACCCUGUGGGAAUUGGAGCUCAGGGAACCUUCAUAGAAAUUCUGAUAGUCUAGCUACUGCUAUUUCUAUGAGUAAUAAAUUGUUUCUGACCUAGAAGUCUUGUGUCUUCUGCUGGCACCCAUGAAAUUAUGAGGCUAAAUUGUUAGAUUACAAGUGAGGUAAAAUCUUGGACGCUUCCCAGUUCUUGACACUGACUAAAAUACAUGCAUAUUCGUUUUAUCAAGUCAGUUUGAAAAAAAAUCUAUGAAUUAAAAUAAUUACAAAAUUCUAAGGACUGAAUUUGUAAUAUAUUGGAUGAACAAAACCCUCUACCUUGGUUCUGAAAUUCUUGAUAGUUGAGAUAUGUGUAACAUUUGUAAUUUGAAAUACACAAGUAAUUCUCUAUUUAAAAGGUCAUAUAUCCAAAGUAUUGAAAAAUCUAGAAUACAUUAAACUUUAGCUAUCCAUGGUGAAAGGCAGUGGCAAAACAGCUGCAGAAAAGCUGAAACUAGAUUCAAUUAAAUCUUUGUGCCAAAACCAAGUGCACAAAAAUCUCCCAAAGCUGUUAAAACUAUACAGCUUAUUUGCUAUAAAUUUUAUAAAUGGUUAAAUAAAACAAGUUUUGAAGUAAUUUGGUAAAUUGACAAAUUUUUCACUCAUUGAUUUGUUGUAGCUAAUGAGGGAUGGUGGGGAGUGGAGAAGGGUUCAGAGAACUUGGGAAGGAUAUAAAAAUGGAGGUAUGUGGGGCAAAUGCCCCCAACUACAUGUUUUAAUCAAGAACACCAGCCUAUGAUCAAGGGAAUUUUCAUAUACAGAUGAGAGCUAGUCUCACUUGAUCUUUCUGCAUUAAAACUGUUACAAAGCAACUUCUUUAUCAAAUGAAUACAAUCACAUUUAGUAGAGGCUCUAGUUAAGACCUGAGGCUAUACUGACCUGGGUUAGAGACCUGGCUUUUACAUUUUUACCUAAUCUCUCUAAGCCUUAAUUUCUCAGUUUUAAAAGUGCAGGUAAUCAUAGCAUGUGUUUCCCAAGGAUGUUGUAAAGAUUAGUGUCAGGAUGGCUGAGUGGUGUAAGGCACCAGACCCAAGGAUGUUGUAAGGAUUAAUUGAAAUAUCCACUUGAAUUGCUUAGCAUGAUACCUGCUAUGUAGAAAGUGCUUGAUAGCCUUAACAAUAUAUAUCAUUAAGAAAUUUCCUUGGAAUGGGAAUUUCAAACCACUUUAUCAAAUAUACUUACUUCCUCACUUACUUUUGUGGUUUGGUAGCUUUUUCUUUACACAUUUAGGAGGUGGGGAAGCACAGAGAUAUAGCACUUUCUUUUUUUUUUCUUUGAGACAGAGUCUCGCCCUGUCACCCAGGCUGGAGUGCAGUGGCGCCAUCUUGGCUCACUGCAACCUCCGCCUCCCAGGUUCAAGCUAUUCUCCUGCUUCAGCUUCCUGAGUAGCUGGGACUACAGGUGCACGCCACCAAGCCCGGCUAAUUUUUGUAUUUUUAGUAGAGAAGGGGUUUCACCAUGUUGGCCAGGAUGGUCUCGAUCUCCUGACCUCGUGAUCCACCCGCCUUGGCCUCCCAAAGUGCUAGGAUAACCGGUGUAAGCCACCGCACCUGGCCAGAUAUAGCACUUUCUAAAAGGUCUAUAAAUCUUUCUAAAGAUUAAUAUUGAGUGGGAUCAAUGUGUUUUAGGGAAUCCAGAUACUGCACACCACUUUGCAAAUGUUUAGAUUUUAGCAGAACAACAAAUGGACUUUGCAAAGACUGUCUUUUAAUUAUUAAACCUCUAUUUAUUAAAAAGAAAUUAGGCCAGGCACAGUGGCUCACGCCUGUAAUCCCAGAACUUUGGGAGGCCGAGGUGGGUGGAUCACCUGAGGUCAGGAGUUCAAGACCAGCCUGGCCAACAUGGUGAGACCACAUCUCUACUACAAAUACAAAAAUUAGUCGGGCAUGGUGGCAGGCACCUGCAAUCUCAGCUACUUGGGAGGCUGAAUGAAUUUACAGGUAGGAAGGCACACAUUAUAUAAGUUAAAAUUCAGUUCAACUAUGAGUGACAGAAAACCCUAAUGAGUGGUAGCUUAAACAUACAAUGUUUACUCCCUCAAACAAAAUGUCUGCCUGAUAUGUAGCUGAUGUGAGGCUCCAUGGUGUCAGGGUCCCAGGUUUCUUUUAUCUAUGGCUUUGCCAUCUUUAUCACAUGAACCAUAAUGACUGCUUGAGUUUCUUAUGGUCUAAAAUGGUUUCUUGAGUUUCCUAUCCCCAUCCAGUCAGGAAGAAAAAAAAAAAAAAAAAAAAGGAAUGACUGAUGAAGCGCUUGCUUUUAUUUUAAGAACACUUCCUGCAAGUUGCACAUACCAAUUCUGUUUGCAUUCUUUUGGCCACAACUUACCUACUUGGCCAUGCCUAGCUUCAAGAGAAGAGAAAUGUAGUCAUUAUUUUGAGUAGUUAUAUGUCCAGAUGGAAAUCAGGGGAGCUAUCACACACACACACACACACACACACACACACACACACACACACACACACACAAAGCACAAAACAGAUACUGGGGACAACUCAUCUUCUUUGCCUCAUACACUGAAAUUAAGCCAGAUUGGUCUUGUUUUUGAAAGAAAGUAACACUGUUAGUAAGAGAGACUUUGGUAUUGUCUAAUCAAACUUCUCUCUUUUUGUGGAUGAGACUCAUGUUGUCUGAGUUCAAGUUCAGAUAUCAUCCAUUCCUUGAGCUUGUAUGUGUGAUACUACACACUACAACCUAGCACAGAGAGGAUGAGAAGACAAGAAAUGAGAACUUAGGUGUUACUUAGUAUUUAUUUAUAAUAGUAGUUUUAAAAAUGCUGUCUUGACACAGUUUUGAGGCCCUGGAAAUAACAUUUUAAAGUAAAAACGUUAAAGUUUAAAGAAGAGCUUUGCCACUUAAACGGGGGAGUUUGUCUGGAAAAUAUAUUGAGUUGAAACACUUCAUCCUUGGAAGGAUUAUAUACGAUGAACAAUUGCAUAUAAAUGUGUGUUUUAGAGAGAUGUGAACGGGCAGUUAGUCCAGUGCCCUCAUUUAAGAGGCCAAAAUCCUGACUCAGAGGAGGUGUCCUUUGCCCAGAGCUUCUUAGCUAAUCUGACCAAAUGUUGGGAAAUAUAUCUUACCUAACCUACUAUUCCUUAAUUAUGGAUUUUGUGGAAAACAAUAAAACAUGUUAAUGAGUAAUUUAUAUUAGUUCAAUUUAUUACAAUUUUUUAGCUUUAAAUUACAGUUUUCUUAUAAUGAUGAAAUGUUUUAGAAUCCUUUGAAUCUAAGUAUUUACUUAUUUCCUAAAUAAAACAUUAGUACAACAUUUGAUGUUUUACUUAUGAAAUAUCCUCCUCUCCCAAGAUAAUUAAAACUUUUUCUUUCUAUUUAAAAGCUAAGAAAUGAUGUUUUAAAGGAAAAAUGAAAUUAUUUUCUUUUAGCUUCUUUUAAGGUAAAACAGCUUUUUUACUCUGUUAUUGUGGUAAUGGACAGAAAAUUGCAUACCAAAAUAUUCUGGGAGAGCAUUCUCCUAGUUGGUUUUAAAUCAUUGUGCUACCUGAAAGGUUUUUUGAUUUUGUAGGAGCUAUUUUGUCCACCAGCAUUAAUGUGACACUAGUUAUGAAAAUAUAUUGAAGGACAAGAAGUGGACACAAAGUGAUUUUUGUAACCUGGGCAGUUAAUGAAUGUGCCAACGUUUUCGAGGAAGGGACAGCAAGAAUAUUCUGCCCUGUAGUUAAAAUACUGGCUGGCUUUUAAUGUCUUCAUGCUUAAUCGUGAUCACUUUCUUGCACUGUGAUGUUUUUACGUGAACAUGUUAAAAUGGAAGUCUACCAUAUUACUUUAUAAAAUGUUUUCUGUAUGCCAGUAAACUGAAAAUAUGGAUCAACAACAACAACAAAAUGCGUCUUGACACAGUUUUGAGGCCCUAUGUAGGGGUUAGUCAAUUUUCACUGAGCAAUCGGUUAAGCCCAUAUCCCCAACCACCUCCCUUAUGAGACUCUCACCCUCCUGGCCACCAUACACUUUUCCUAAUUACUCUAAGGGCAGGUAUCAGAUAACCAGAGGCAGCUCCUAUACCCUGGAGCCCACUGAAAGUGCUCAAAUUAGUCAAUCCUAAGCCUGCGUAUCCUGCCUCAUCCAUUCCUUCCUGCAGAAACCACAAUAAAGACACUUGUCUUCCCUCUUCCUUUGCCUCACGACCAACCUUGGUGCUUCCCCUGAGUGGCCCUGUGUGGCAUAUUGUGUUCUUCCCAGAGAACUGUCAGUAUAAGAAACUGUAAAACUCUUUCUGGUUUCUGUCUGUUGAUCUGCAUCUGGCCUCACCAGGU
Molecule: long non-coding RNA, 4865 nt
Filed under: Homo sapiens (human)
Lineage: Eukaryota; Metazoa; Chordata; Mammalia; Primates; Hominidae
Description: non-protein coding LINC01204:8
Source: RNAcentral